This 253-nucleotide ribosomal RNA is filed under the name uncultured bacterium. RNAcentral describes it as "partial 16S ribosomal RNA". It matches the Rfam family "Bacterial small subunit ribosomal RNA", at positions 524 to 776 of the family's 1533-position model. The record is from RNAcentral.
UACGUAGGGUGCGAGCGUUGUCCGGAAUCAUUGGGCGUAAAGGGCGCGUAGGUGGCGGGACAAGCGUGCGGUGAAAGCUCGGGGCUCAACCCCGAGUCGGCCGUGCGAACUGUCUUGCUUGAGCACUGUAGAGGCAGGCGGAAUUCCGGGUGUAGCGGUGGAAUGCGUAGAGAUCCGGAAGAACACCGGUGGCGAAGGCGGCCUGCUGGGCAGUUGCUGACACUGAGGCGCGACAGCGUGGGGAGCAAACAGG